This 404-nucleotide ribosomal RNA is filed under the name uncultured bacterium. RNAcentral's name for it is "bacterial SSU rRNA". It matches the Rfam family "Bacterial small subunit ribosomal RNA", at positions 355 to 774 of the family's 1533-position model. The record is from RNAcentral.
UAAGGAAUAUUGGUCAAUGGACGCAAGUCUGAACCAGCCAUGCCGCGUGGAGGAUUAAGGCCCUCUGGGUUGUAAACCGCUUUUCUGGGGGAAGAGCAAGGACGGUACCUCAGGAAUAAGUCUCGGCUAACUACGUGCCAGCAGCCGCGGUAAAACGUAGGAGGCGAGCGUUAUCCGGAUUUACUGGGCGUAAAGCGCACGCAGGCGGCUCUGUUAGUCGGACGUGAAAGCUCUAGGCUUAACCGGGAGAGGCCGUUCGAUACUGCGGGGCUUGAGGUAGGGAGAGGAAUGCGGAAUUCCCGGUGUAGUGGUGAAAUACGUAGAUAUCUGGAAGAACACCAGUUGCGAAGGCGGUCUCUUGGUCCGACACUGACGCUGAGGCGCGAAAGCGUGGGGAGCAAACA